Molecule: RNA transcript, 4663 nt
Organism: Nasonia vitripennis (jewel wasp)
Lineage: Eukaryota; Metazoa; Arthropoda; Insecta; Hymenoptera; Pteromalidae
Gene name: alpha-glucosidase
Exons: 13
Source: RefSeq, a predicted model, not a curated record
UGCGAAGUAGGUAGUGGAGCGGCCUAAUAUUCAUCUCUGGCAGUUGAGAGCCCGAGGGAUCGCCCGACGGAGCUGCCGACUUUUUUCUCGUCGACGCACGCGGCCCUGCAGUAUCUACAUUACACCUGUAUCCCCGAAAACUCUCGCUAUAGCUCGUAUAGCGGCGCAAGGUCGCGUUCAUUAUCGUCUCGACACAGAGUAUAGCUGCCAAACUCCGAUCGUACUUCGUAGGAGCCGCAGAUCGUCGGACACAGAGUUAAAGUAGACCAUAAUCAGCUGCGAGAUGACGACGUCUCGCAAGCUCGUCUUGCUCCUCGCAGCUCUGCUGCUGGUAGUGACGGGCGUCACCGCAGCGGCUGUUGGAGCAGACGACGCUGAGGACGAGGACGCGUCGUCUGCUGUGACGCCGGUGACGCCGGAGGAGAUUGACGAAGACGAGGGUAGCGGUAGUGGAAGUGGAAGUGGCAGCGGUGACGGGAGCAGCGAGGAGGAUGACGACGAUGACGAGGACGACGCCGACUGGAGGGAGGAUACGCUUAUUUACCAAGUCUGGCCGAGAGCCUUCCAGGAUAGCAAUGGGGACGGAGAGGGAGAUCUGCAAGUAAUACCAACAUUCAAACGUGCAAUGUGACCAACUGUCGAAUUUGGAAUUGGCGCAAAUCAGCUGAUCAAGCAAGCACCAUAACCUCGCCUAGACCGAGUUCUCGAGUUCUUGACUGUUUACUAAUUGCUGCAAUUUUCCGAAACUUUUACAACCGCUAUUAAACUACUAAAUGAGGUCACACGUAACAGAAAAAUCACCUAACAUGGAAAGGCAUCAUCCAUCGCUUGGACUAUUUCGUGGAAAUUGGCGUGGAUACUAUCAGAUUGAGCCCAAUUUACUCAUCUCCAAUGAUCGAUGCUGGAUACGAUGUCUUGAACCACACUGACAUAGAUCCUAUUUAUGGAGAUUUUAAUGAUUUUUAUGAACUGAUACACGAAGCUCACAAAAGAGCUUUGAAAAUCAUUCUGGAUGUUGUUCCAAAUCAGUCUAGUGACCAGCACGAGUGGUUCUUGAAUUCUGCCAAGGAUGUAGAGCCCUAUGAUGACUAUUAUGUUUGGGCUGAUGGAAAAAUUGUGGGCAACACUUUGGUACCACCUACUAACUGGAAAAAUGCCUACAGUGAGGAGGAAGGCUCAGCGUGGACAUGGAACAAGGAUAAAAGAAUGUGGUACUAUCACCAAUUCCAUCAUACAGCACCGGACCUGAACUUGCGAAAUGAAGAUGUUGUUCAGGAAAUCCUUAAUAUAUUUGACUUCUGGUUGGAUAAAGAAGUAGAUGGAUUCUGCAUUUGCGGAGCAUCAUAUCUUUUUGAAAAUGAAGAUUUACUCAAUGAAUCAUCAUCAGAAGAAGAUACUAGUGAUGAAACAGACGAUGAUGAGGAUAGUGACAAUGAUGAGGUGUCCCACACCAUAGGUUUACCAGAAAACUCUGAUCUACUUGUCAGAUUCCGUGAGCACAUUGAAGAAUGGGUCAAAGAGCACAAUGCUGAGCCAAAGUUAUUGAUUGCUGAAGUAGACGACGAUGAUGAUGAGGUAUGGUCUUAUUAUGGAAAUGAAACUCAUCCUGGUAUUGCACCAUUGAGCUUAGUCCUUGUUACUGGAUUGAAUGAAACCAGUGAUGCUGGAGAUGUGAAAGACUUGAUUGAGGAUUGGAUGGAACGUUUACCAGAAGGUGCUGACACUAAUUGGAUGUUAUCAAAUCAAGAUUAUUCAAGAGCUUCUUCUAGACUUGAUUCUGACGUUAUGGAUGGGCUUUACAUGCUCACAUUAUUACUGCCUGGACAAGCUGUAAUAUAUUAUGGUGAGGAAAUAGGAAUGUUAGAUACGAAUGUCACAUGGGACGAUACUAUUGAUAUCAGAGCUCUCGACAAAUCGGAAGAAAAUUAUGACGAUUACUCUAGAGAUCCAGUCAGGACACCUAUGCAAUGGGAUAACUCCAUAUCAGGUGGAUUUUCCACAAACGAUUCUACAUUCCUUCCUGUUAAUCCUAACUAUGUUCGAAUUAAUGUGAAGAGACAGUUGGAAGAUCAUGAUAGCAAUUUGAUGGCUUUUAAAAAAUUAGCCCUUCUCAGGGAAAAUCCAAUUUUUACUAGGGGAGAUUACGAUCUUGAUGCAGUAAACGACGACAAUGUUCUUAUUUUGAAAAGGUCUCUGGAAAAUGACACUUGCUUGGUAAUCAUCAAUUUUGCAGACACAAAGCAAAUGGUUAAUUUAACCGCUCUGUAUCCAGACCUGGAAGAAGAUUUGCAAGUUAUGGUGGAUUCAAGUAAUGCAAACGUCGAGAAGGAAAAUGACGAGGAUGAUGACGAUGACAUAGAAAAUGAUUUAUUCAUCCUGCAUGCUAAUGCAGCGGCUGUACUUUGUGACAGAGAUGACUUUUCGGGAAUUCCACACGAAGAAGACGACGACGACGACGACGAUGACGAUGACAACGACAACGACGAUGAUGAUUCAAACGAUGAUGAAUCUGAUUCUAAAGAAGAAGAUGAUUCGAAAAUCGCCACCACCAGUUCAACAGAAGAACCCAAUGAAGUAGUGCCUGCAACCACAACAGAAGCUCCCGCUCCCAGCUCGGCAAAUAGACGAGAAACGCUUGAAUUUUUCAUGAUCAUUCAUCUCGCGUUGUUACUACUCCUUCGAACAUUAUAAAAGUCCAUCAAUCUGUGAAGUUUGUACAAAAUUGUCACUUAACGGUACGAUUUCGAUAAUCGUCACCUUUGGUUUAUUUUCAAAUUACUUUACAUAAAAGUCUAAUAAAAGCCUCGGCCAAGUGUCUCUUCAGCAAACGUGUAUAUACACAUAUACAUGUUUCUUUCAUAAUAAACGCAGACGUUCUUUCACGGUGAAUUAUCUGACAAACUUAAGACCCCCGACUUAUUUCUCAAUGCGACUGAUCACCGAGUGCGAAAGAUUAGGAAAGAAGCGUUCGAGCUCUUAGAAAGAGGAAUUUCUUUGUUUGUUCUAGUCAACCAAGCUAAAGCGCUCGUCGAACAACGAUUCAAAUGUACACUUACUCGAAACAAAAAGAAUAAGCUUGUAGUAGGCGGUAAGAGUCUAAAGAUAGAUUUAAUAACAUAUCACGGCGAAAGCGACUCAAUGACGUAAGUUAGAUAUUCCUCGGCUAAACUUACAAACAUGUAACGCAACAAUCAUAUCUCCCGCGCGAAUAUUGUUACGAAGAGGGUAAAUAUAAUGUAUGUAUAUAGCUCCUCGAUAAGGCCAGUAACCAAAAUAACUCUCGAAUUCCGGCUUCCCUUGUAUAUCCUCUCUCCCGCUCCAGUGUUGUCUUGAACAAGGCGAGAGAUAAAGACAGAUAGAAAACAACGAUAGUUAUUAUGCCCUGCGCGAGCAAGCGCGACAUUUUAUAUAUACCCGGUAAGCCGAUCCAUUAUCUUGUUGAAACACUCGCUGCCUGUCAGUCUAGUAGCAUCGAGUCGCGAGCUGCUUGUAUGCAGAGUCAUAACACCUACAAUAGCCGGACACACCGGAGCGGAAGGAAAGUUUUGUCCAACGCGAGCGCGCGAAGCGACAAUACGAGCUUAUUAUUGUUAUUAUUAUUAUUGUACCGGUAGUACACGUUAUCCGCAAUAGCGGCCACGUAUAGCGUUUGUGUUGUGCGGAGCGAAAUCGAUCUUGUGCGCAUGUGGAUCACCGUGGACAGGUGUCGAUCGUCGCGGAGUCAACGUCAAGGCUGCUGGACGUCAUCGGGAGUUAGUUGCAAGAGGAAUGUGAGGAGAAAAAUGGUACCGAAGGAGACCACCUACCUCCUGACGAACCCCGUCAGCGAGGCCAUGAGGAUCAACAUCCCCGAGAAGUACAUCACGCGAGAGCUGACCAGAGAAGAUUUGGAAUACUACACGGCCGAUCCGCUUUGGAUGAAGAUCCGAUUGUUUUUAUUCUGGAGCUUCUGGCUUGCUUUCCUCGUCGUACUAUUCCUGUCGAUAUUCGUCUACAUCUUUCCCUCGACGUGCUGAGAUUAUCAAGAGGCCCAGCUGGCUAUGCCUUUCAGAGCAAAUCUUUGUUUUCAACUCUGAUAAAACCGCUCUUGGAGGAGAGUGCGAUAGCUGAUAAUGUACAGACAAAUACAGCCGCAGUGUCGUAUCAGGAAUUUUACCGGAGAUGCUGGCGAUGGCUAUCGAAAGACUGUUGUGAAAAAGAAGCUUACAGUAUAUAAGUGCCUAAGUCAGGCGAGUCUAUAACGUACUGGAUUUGUAACUUUAGGGUCGCGACGUUUAGACGUUUAGAGGCUUUUUUUAUAUAUCCAUAACGAAAUCUUCAUGUAUAUGUAUAGCUAUGUGUUAAGGUUUUUCUUUUUUUAAGUUAUAAGCGUGUUUAUACUAUAUGCGGUACUGUAACAAUAUAUAUAUAUUAGAGUAAUUACUACACUGCGAACUUUUAAAAAUGCAAGGCGUGUAUCGCAAAUUACACGUUUUCGCAUAUAUAUCUAAUCUAAAAAGAUAAUUGAUCUAUUACGAUCAGCUAUCGGCCUGUGAUUUUAUAUUUUAUGUAAAACAAAUCUCAGCUGAAAAGUAUUUUGUUUAAGGCGCUUGAUCAUUGUUAAAGCAAAUAAAUUUGCGAUGUGCUUAUCAAUAAAUGAGAUGUCUCAUGUAAAGGACUUAGA